This 12693-nucleotide long non-coding RNA is filed under the name Citrus maxima (pomelo). Its description in RNAcentral is "long non-coding RNA (CMAX_LNC003314)". The record is from RNAcentral. Lineage: Eukaryota; Viridiplantae; Streptophyta; Magnoliopsida; Sapindales; Rutaceae.
UGUUUCCUUUUUACUCCCCUCACUUAUUUGAGUUACAAGACUUAAUCCUGGUGAUAGCCCCAGGAGUGCUUUCUCCCCUGUUCCUGCAGAUAAUCCAAUCCUGUUGGUGAGCAUAUCCUUCCCCAUAUUCGUAGUAGGUACAGCACUAUGUAUUCCUUGACCCCCAAUAUUCGUAGUGGGAACAGCACUAUGUAUUCCUUGACCCUUCCCUAGGUGUUCCCGGACUCCAGCUUUUUCUGCACGUUUCUGCUCUUUCUUCUUAUAAUUUCUUCCUUUUGUCCACAUGUUUUCAAGAUUUUCGGGAGUAAGAACUUCAGUUCUUCUUUGCGUCACAGCCUCCAGCAUUUGUGCCCACUCAGCAGCUCGCAGAUGCACAGACUCUUCCUGGGAUGUAUUAUCAUCCAAAGACAUUUCUCUUUGAUUCCCAAAAUUUGUUGGUAUCAUAUCAGUCCCUUGAUUAUGCAACGAAGAGAAUUGUCCUGAGAUCGAAUCUCCCAUUUUCAUUUCCCCUGUACGCUUAUCACCACUCAACCCUCUAUUGCUAUCAUCUCUGAUAGCAAGUAAAAUGACUUCAAUCAAUUCAUUGAUAUACCUGGUUAAAGAAAGAAUUUUAUCGGAUGGUUAGACAUUCAAGAGAAGAGAAAGGCAUAGAAUACUUCACGUCCUCUGAGAAUUUCUAAAAAUAAAAACUCAAAUGUAUGCUGUUACAAGUAUAAUCCGUUGAAAGUAUGGUAUGAUUAUCAUUCCCUUUCCCUCGCUACAUUAAGUGAUGUAUAUUGGAGUUGUAACAAUGUCCUCAACUCGGCAUUUCAGAUGAUUUUAACAACAAAUAUUCCAUUUGCAAAAUAAUUAGUUCAAGAAACAAGUAUAGUUUAGCACAGUCCACAGGUAGUUCAAAAGCUUGGACUUUCAAGUACCCUUAAAACCUCCAAAACCCUUCAGCAUUAACCAGUCAUCUAGGAGAACACAAAAAGAGAAAAAGAGAAAGAGCAAAGUUGAAAUUACUACAACAAUAAAGCAUCAAAAUAAAUCAUCAUGAAAUUAUAUACUAAUUUACUAAAAUUAUUAGAAUUCAACAUAUCUAGAGUGUUUCCCAGUUUAACACGUGAACUGUGUGUUAAGAGCUAAAGUUAUCCCAUCUUCACACAAAUUAUUAGAGAAAGAGAAAAACUAGAAGAUAUAGUUUUAUUUUGGAAACCAACCAUGAAGAUUUAAACAUUUUUCAGACAAAGAAAGCUUAAAAAUCAAAAUAUUAGAGCUAUAAAAUAUUGAAUAAGAAUCAAGAAUCGUCAAAAAACUUACGAAGGACUUGCCAAAUUCAUAACAGGUUGUAUCACCAAACAAGUUACAAGCUCUCUAGCCAUUGUCCGAACAAUGGGGCAAUGAGCUUCUCGCGGUCUUAGCACUACCGUUAGCACUCCACUCAUUAUGCGCUGAAGAACCUGAGAGAGAGAGAGACAGCACAAAUUUUUUAAGCAGACCACAAACAGAAAAAAGUCAAGAUAAAUUAAAGUAUUAAUGGAGCUCUCCAACCACACCUUGUACUCACUCUCAGGAGAUAUCAAUGCUGGAUGAAGCUCCUUAGAUGCCGUAAGAUGGUAUUUCAAUCUUUCAUCCCUCUCCUCAGAUGAUAGUGUUCUCAUAACAUCAACACCAAUAACUGCUUGGUUUCUUCUGAAAAGAUCUAAGUGAUCACCUAUUAGAUCGACUACAUCCCUGAAAAAUAACACAGUUAUUUCUUGAUGUUCUUUAAGUGCCCUUCUAUUAUCAAACUUGAGAAAAAAAUUUUAGACUUAUAAAUUUCAUUUUAUUUUAUACCUCGUUAGCAAGUCAACAAGAUUUAUCGUUUUGACCCUUCCCGAUAUUUCACCAAUUGCAUCCAUGAUAAUGCUUCGCAUUAGCUCAGGGGCCUCCCUAUCCGGUGUAAUAUCUGAAUACCAUAAAUCAACCACAAAAUCCUUCAAAAUUUUAUCAAUAAACUCACUGAGUGCAGACUCCACAAUAGGAGAAUCAAUUUUCCGCUUCCAUUUUUGUGGGGCUGAUGCAUUAGAAAGACGUGAAUCAUUCACAGACAAUUGUUUCUUCUCCAACAGAGAAAGAUAAGUUUGAGGAUGUCGUGCCUUAACUUUCCAGGAUAUUUCUACCUCAUUGGAUAGAAUUCGCAAUGCACAAACAAUAAGAACUGAUAUGGGCAAAUUCAUCAACAUUGAUGUGCUUGUAUCUGCAUUGAAUAAUUAAAAAGAAAAUAAAUAUAGUACACAGAUAAGCAGUACGUUAUACAGAAACAUAUUUCAAAAGAUAGCAUAUCAAUCUCCCAAAAACUGGUACCGUAAGAAAAACAAUCAGUAGCAGCAUCAAAGAGUUAGACCAAGAUUCUCCAUGAUUUGGUUGCUCUCAGAGAUUCAAAAAACACUUUAAUAAAAUCUGGAAUCCAACUUGGCAUCAUUAACUUAAGCAAUGAAAAAGCUAAAAGAAGAACUUACACUAGCGUCAUAAACAUUUUACUGAGUUCACUGAGGUUUUCCAUUUUACGGCCCCUGAAGUGUUUUCUACUUGACAGCUAAUGUCUACUUACUAUCCACUGCUAGUGAUUUCAUUCUACAGCAGCCGUGGACUAAAAGCCACAGCAUCUCAACAAAAAACAUACCCUUAGUUCGGCGGCACCAAAUUCAAAGUUAUCCUUUCAUAAAAAAAGGUAUAUAAAUGAAGACUGGCCCUAUCAUUAACACUAAUUUCCAAUUUCAAAUUACCAAACACAGCUUAAACACCAAUAAUAAGACACCAUAAAUACCAGCUAAAAAGCACACAGAAUUAAAUGAUGUAAAAAAGUUCAACAGUGCAACGACAAUUCAAAAUUCUAAAACGACACCCUAGCUUAACCUAAACUAUAAAUUAAAUUCAACACAAAUUAACUGAAUAAAGCAAAAAAAAAAAAAAAAAUUAAAAAAACACGAGAAUUUGAUUGUUAUCGUACGCGAUAAGAAAUAGCAGACCGCGAAUAUCAACAAGGCCCACCACACCGUCCGUACUUUGGCUUCCUCGAUCAGAUCUUGUAUCGUCUCCAUCGCCUUCAUUUUUUUUUUCUCUGUUUAAUUAACAGAAAAUUGCUUAAAUUUUCAAUUGACUAGAGACAUCGAUAUCGCUCGAGGAUAUUGAUCGCACGAAAAGUAAGGCCUUGUUUGGUUUCUGGAGACGUGGUGGCGUCUGUCAGCUAAUUGACUUUAUACAGCAAUUAAUUUGUAAGCAGCAAACAUGAGGGAACAUCAGACUCAGAGCAUCUGAAAUUUGAUUUCGUUAGCUUCUCUUUUUGUUUUUUUUUUUGGCAUUUUAUAUUUUUAUUUUAUAUUUUUUUUCUUGGUAUUUUAAAUGGAAACAAAUUAUACGUGCGAAAAAGAAAAUUUGCUAAGCGUCGUUAGGCUCAUUGUUCCGUUACUUUACACGUGUAAAGUCGGGGAUCUUCUCAGUUCAUAUGAAAAUUAUUUCUAUAAAUUUUUGCUAUUUAUUACUGUAAAUAUUAUUAUGAAAGUUAUAUGCAUUUAGGGACAAAAUGCCUGAUAACCAAUAAGAAUGUUUGCUAUAUAAUUGCUGCAAAUGACAAAAAUUAAUGCUGGUAGGAGCCGCAUAUGGGUGACAGCGUGGAUAAUACAAGUCAUGUUGGUGUUGUGUUACAAAUGUUUCCAACUCAUUCCUGCGAUAUGAUUAUGAAGCGGUCGGGCAGAACAGAAGUAUGCUUCAAUUAAAAUACCAUUCAAGAGGAAAAAGGAAAAAAAAGAAAAGUUUGAAUUAUAUGAUGAAUGGGCCGAGAUGGGUCAUUUCUGGGCUUUGAAUGCCCAAUUGGUUUAAAGGAUCAUCAUGGAUAUAAGUUCGACAAUGGGCUUUAGUGAUAGGAGUCAAGAAUCAUAAUAUUUGUGAUUGGCCCAACUGCUACUGCAUUUAUUUAUUAUAUCAUGUAUAGAAUCCAGAAUAGUAGGAAUUCUCUUAUCCCCUUCAAAAUAAGCAUAUCUUAUAAUUAUCUAUGAUUGUUUGCGUCUCUAGUGUGAUCGAAUCCUUCCAGUAGUAAUCAAAUGCAUUGCAUUAUAGACAUAAAAGCGUAAGAACUCAAAGUACUCUAUUGUUCCCGUCUUUAUCUAAUUCGAGGAGUAGAGUCAGGAUCCCUUGAGUUCUUAAUAAACAUAAUAUUAUGUUUUGCUCCUAUAAAUAGAAAAAAAAAAUGGAUAACUUUUUUUAAUGCAUCUUCGUGCAUAAGAAUAUUAGAUUACCCAAUAUAAAAGAUUGAAAAAUCAUCACAAACCACCUUUUUUUUUCUUUUUUUCUUUUGUUAUGGUAUCUUUUAACUUUCCAUAUAUAGAAAUAGAAACAAAUAAACUUAAAUAUUAGAAUCUUGUAUUAUUGUCAAUAUUAAAUUUAUAAGACAAAAGAUAAAUCAAGUAAUGAGUAUAAAUCCAGUGAGGUAUUAGUUACAAUAACUUGUAAGGUAUCUUUGUACAAACUAAUAUGUUUAUAAUAAAAUGUAUCUUGAUAUUAUUUUUAUUUUGUAUUUUAUUAGGAUGCAAUCCAAAUUUUUAUAUUUAUCCUUACGAUUGCAAAGACUUAUUUUCUUAGUUUCUAUUGAAAGAGUGAGUUCUUAGGUUUUGAAGACACGAAGGUGAUGGUAGCGAAACCAACUUAAUUUUAUUUGGUGUCAAAUUUUUAACUUGUUUUCUUUUUGCUAAAACUAAUUUUGUUUUAGUUUAUUGUGGAUAUGAGAGAUCAAUGACUUCUUCUUCUUUUUUAUUUUUUAUUUUUGAUGCGAGGGGACAGUGAGGGGAAGAGUAGUAUAAAAGUGGUCAUUUUAUAAAAUCAAUCAACUGAGAAUUUGACCCAUUUACCUCCUCUCCUUAAUUUUAAGGUGGAGGGUUCAAGUCUCUUUAGCACCUAUGAGAGUUUGUUUUCUAUCAUUACUCAUGCAGGGAUUUAGUUUUUAUAUUGAGUUUUGAUAGGUUGACUAUGUUGGACAUUGAUUGUUCAUUUAUACUUUGGCUUUGGUUGUAUCGGGUAAAAUAUAUUUCAAAGCAAAUAAAAAUCAAUAAUAUAUCAAAAUAAAAGGUCAAACUAUGGUCUUAUUAGUAAAAGCCUAAAAGUUCGUUGAUCCAAACAUUAUCAACUAAUUAUUUUUGGUUGGAAAUAUCUUCGCGCUCCACUAUUUUAAUAUUUUUGUAAAUCCACCACAUUUCUAGAAAAUAAUUACAACGAGUUUACUUUUUUUAAAACAAAAACAAAUCAACAAAAGUUUUCUACAAUUAAUCAACUAAAUUCUUCUUAUAUAUAUUUUACCGCUUAGGUUUCUUUGACCAUCUUUGAUUACAAAAGUUGCUUUGAUAUAAAUUUUAUCUGACUAUUUUAUCCUUAUGACAUAAAAUGAUCAAAUUACCCUCAUAAACAUAAGUUGUUGUAUCUAAUAGUCUAGAUAUUGAAUUUUAUGGUUAUAAUCUAAUGUUUUUAAAUGAAUCUAAUAAUUAUUUUUUAUAUCUUUACAUGCGAAUGGCAUAAAUUUGAUAGUCCAAUAAUUUACGUAAAUAUUCUAUCUUAAAGAACAUUCUAUUAAUUUAAUUAAAAAUUAAUGAUCAUACUAACAAAGUAGUAUUGAUAUAUUAUUUAGAAACAAUGAAUUCCAAAUAAAAUUAACGUAAAUUUUUAGUGCUUUUAUUUUAUAAGGAUAAAACAACCAAUUUAAACUAACACUAAAUCAAUCACUAUAAUCAAAUAUAAUAAAAAAAAAAUUAAGUCACAAAAAAAAAAAUUUAAUUAAAAUAUUCCUAUCCAUUAUUUUUUGGAUAAGUUUGAAAGAAAAAGUCGUCUGCCCCGGCCCACCGCCCGUUGUGCACGCUGUCCACUGCCCGCGGUAUCGGCGCAACGCUGCGUUCGACAAACCACUUUUAAACCAAUGUGCCAGUUCCGCAUAAUAAUAAUUCGGGAUCUCCAAUACAAUCAUUACCAUCGACGGCAGUAUUUAUAUCUUAAAAAAAAUCACAACCGUUCAAUAAUAAAAAAAUCUUUUAAAUCAUUACAAUAAAAAUAUCUCAUCCUUAUCCACUAACCCGGUCCCAUCGCUCCACUUUCCCGGACCUUCAAGCACAAGGAAGAGAUAUUUAUACUCGUUAGUAUUUAACCCAUUCUCCACGACCAAGCAAAAUAUAAAGUCUACAGAUACAAAAACCAAAACCACUCUGUUUGGUUACGAUGUUAGAGUCGAUCGUUGCUGGCUCUUGUUCUGUUCCGUUACAGUUGCAAGCUAAAGAUAAUCUUACUGCAGGAGCAUGUUUCUCUGAUACAACGAAAUCCGCUUCAGUGGCAUGCCGUUCUUCUUCUUCGAGAACCAACGCUUAUAAUGUCCCAAAACUCGAACCCUUUAGCCGUACUAAGUUAGAACGUGCCGUCAAAGAACCCUCCUUGAUCGAAAAAUCUGAAAACGAUCUUGCAGGUCCAUUUCCGUUACUUAUUUUCAAAUUUUUUUAAUAAACUUUAUUUGAUCUUAUUUUAAAUAAGCCUUCUGUUAUGGUUCCUGUGCAGAUUAUUGUUCGACACUCGAAGGAGAUGAUUCCUACAGUUGCUGGAGAGCUUACUUUGAGCUCAAAGAUCUUGAAGUUAGUCUAUUCAUUUACUUCAAAUCAUAUUGCCCUUAAAACUUAUAAUUCAAAUGGAACUUUGUAUGUGAACUUUAAUUCUUUGUGUGAAAUUGAUCAGAAAGAAUUGCCAAAAGAAGAUAUCGAGAAACUGAUCCUGCAAUCGGGUGGUGUGAAAUCUUUAAUUGGGUGCUUACAUGGGAUAUCAUCAAUACGCAAAGCAAAGACUGAUGGGUUAGCUUCCGAAGAAAAGCAAUUGGGUUCCAAGAGAAUAGAAAGCAGUUCGCGUCCUGUCCCGGAUGGGCUGCCCAAGACCCUGGAAGAGCUUGAGGAAGAAGAGAGAGCGAGAAUGCCUGAUUCUCCAUACACGAGAUUGCUUAGAGCAAAAGGGAGACUCCCUGCUUGGUACUCGCUUGCCCCUGAUCACGAAACAGAUUGAUAAUUCAGGCGAAGAGGUUUAACAAGUUUUGUGUUGGUUCGUUGCAGAUAUUAUCAUGGAUCUGGUGUAUUAUUUAAAUGUGGGAUUUUUGCUCUUUGAUUGAUUGUCGUAGCGAAGUAUACAGUUCCAUCAGUUGAUAAGUUAUAUAGUCUUAAUAUCGAAUAUGUGCUUCAGAGCAAACACCUUUUUUGCAUAUAAAUAACUCCAGCUAUUGAAAUCUUCUUGCAACAUUCUUUAUAGCAAGGCUAAUGCUAACUUACAGUCCCCUCGUAUGAAUAGUAAAUUAUGUGGGUUCACUUACUAUUUAUAUAAGAGGAUUGUAAGUUACAUGUACGUAACUUACGGAAAUCCUUAUAGCAAUUUGAGCUGAGCUGAGACAGACUGUUUGUUUGGCUGCUUUGUUGUUUCAUUAUAAAUCUUCAUAAACAGGGUGGCAUGAUGGUAAAUUUGGUUUCAAUGAUCAGUGUAUGUUCUCUAUGUGACACAUUGAAGUCCACUGAUCAUUUCCAGGCCACAAAAGAAUAAGCUUGACCCAAUUAUCAAUGAAAUCAACUGGAGAAUAGAAACUAAAUCUCAAUUAAUUGAGCCAAUUCUGCUUACAUGUGCAAAGUUCAACGGUAAAGCCGUAAAGGAGGGCUUCUCAAGCUGAACUUAGGAACUUGUGAACUAAUAUAAGCUAUAAUUUUAAUCUCAUUUAACGGUGUUUAAUCUCUGCAGAUUUUAUUGAUAAUGAUAAAUAAGAUCAUCCUUCACCGUUUGAUUAGUGAAAACCAUGGAGUUGUCUGCCAAGUGGCAAACAGGGUGAACUUCAAUUGCCUUCCUCAUGUCAUAUUCUUCUGAUUAAAUACAAUCAAUUUUGUCCGACUGAUUAUCAUAUACAAUCGGUCAAUUGCCAUUUUUAGCUUUGCUCAAACAAAGAAACAACUUCCAUUAACUUAUCUAAAGUUUAGUUAUGCACCAGGGGUGCUCCAAUCUCCCGGCAAAAUUGGUGGCGAAAAAACAGAGAGACAUUUUUCCUUUUUUUUCUUUUCCCAGUCUGUCAGUGGCUCGAAAUCCUUAACCUCUACCUCUAUAUAUAACACCUCUCCUGCCAUUGGGAUCCACAGCCUGCUAUAUGCAGCCUUGGACUUGAAACCAAGGUGUUAACAAGUAUGGCUAAAACCAGAGGAUUGCAGGUCUUUGGCUGUGUUGUUCUCGUCUCCCUUGCAUGCUCGUCUUUAUCAUCCAUUUGUUCUGCUUUGACUGAUGCUGAAGCGGCUUUCAUUGCUCGCUGCCAGCUCUUAACAUUACCAAAGGAUGGAAAACUUCCUGAUAAUUUCGACGAUGAGUAUGGUCUUAAGAACAAAAAUUUUUCCAAUGAUAGGCUUAAGAAAGCAUAUGUUGCCCUUCAAGCUAUCAAGGUAAUAGCUCAAGAAAGUUCACAAAAAACACAGGAAGGCCAAAAUAUAGCUUCUUAAAAUAAAAUAUCAGUAGUAGAAAUGCUCAAAUGUUAUCCAUUCAAAAUGUGAUGGCGAUAACAGCAGCAUAAAAGAGAUCUCAACCAAGAAAGUUGUUACCAGAAGAAAAGAACAUGACAAUUGAUCAUAAAGUAACAAAUGUGACAAAUCUCUAUCAUUAGCACUUAGUAGUUAAAAGAGCGAUGAAAAGAGAACACUCUUAAUUAUUGAAACCCUCUAGAUCAUUGUCAUACAUAAUUCCAAAUUCUCAAAUGCAAGAAAACAGCAAUUCAAUCACGGUUUCUGGUAGAUGAAAGGGCACAUCAUAAUUGUUCACACUCUCAGAACAAAUUCACACAAUUGACCAUGCAACAAACCAAUACUAAGAUGUUGAAACAAAAAAUGAGAGCGCAAUUACUCAAGGAAGGAAAAAUUUUAGCUCACCUUAGCCAGCCUCUUCUCUUAAGUUGAAAUACCUUGUCCUCUAAAUUCAAUAGAGGCACACUUACGUUGGGCGGAGUCCACUGCACGAAAAUCAAUUAUAAACAAUAAAAUAUCUCAUACAAAAAUAUACCAGGUUAAAAAAUUUAGCAAACAGGCUGUAAUCUUGACCUUACGGAAGUAAAUAAAAAUAACAAUGAAUGCACCAAAAAGAGCUGGAUGCAAACUUAUAUACAAGUAGUACGCUCAAAAGGUACACAAGAGAAACAUGAAUAUCAAAUAAAGCACAGAAAUCUAAAAACCAAACAUCACUCUAUUAAGUGAAAGAGAUAAAGAACUACUUGAAUCAUCAUAAAAUUGCAACAAUCCCAACAUAAACCAAUAAGUACACUCAAAGUCUUUAAGGUCAUCAAUGCAUUUAUACAUAGUCUGUAUGGAAACUUUCAAUACACUAGUUAUCUCUAUAUCACACAUUGUUUAAUUUUGCCUUUAAAACCUAAUAUCAUUUUCAACCCAGCCAAAAUUCCCUUGUCCCUAAAGACAUUUCUACUGACAAAAAAAUGGAGCAUUAAAUAGGACAGACGGUGAAAUCAAUUAUUAGCAAUCCCUUGAAGUAGCAAUAAGAUAUAUCAUCACCGAUUGAGCUUGCUAACAGGCAUUCACUAUUGAGCAUUUCUGCCAUUUUUUCCUUGCCACCUACACCUUAGCCUUCGACUCAAGAAUUUAACUUAAUGGAUGUUUCAUCAUACCGUGAAAACUCCAAGAACGUUUUACUAUGCUACCUCAAAUAUGAUAGGUAUUUCAAAUUAACACAGUAUCAAGAUACUCAAAUUCAUGCGCAAAACCAAUAUAAUGCCAAUUAUAUGAACAUUACCUCUGGAGGCAUUCCAACUGGAUUUAGUGGAGAACCGGCUGCAGGAAAUCCAACCUGGCCAAUCCCUUCAGCUUUUGCCUCUAAGCUCAAUUUCUUCUGUGUGGCUAAGUUCCUAGACUCUUCACCACGUUUCACUACCCGAGGUGGAAAACCUUUUGAGUUCAAUUCAUUGUCUGAAUGCCACCCAGUUCCUUGUGCAAAAGAUGUGACCUCCUGAAGGUCAUGGCUUCCAUCUUUAUCACCGUCUUCAUUGUCAGAGAAGCUGUUCACGGUCUCAGAUGUAUUUUGCCUUACAACAUAUUUACUAAUCUCAUCGGUACUCAAUGACAAGUUUCUACCAGGGAUUGAGGAGGAGGUAUCAUCAGUGGGGGAAGGUGAACCAACAACUUUCCUCGUCAAGCCAUCUGAAACCCCUUUAAACUGCCGUACAAUGUCAUCCGCGGCAUCAUCCACAUUUACUGUAAUAACAACAAAGGACGAUUAAAUGGUCAGAAAAAUCACAAUAACUCAUCUAGGCUAAAAUCAAAAUUCAGGAAGAAAACAGAAGUAUAAUUUUGCCAGAACUUAUUGGGUGAACUACUUAUUUUCAAUCACAAAAAAAUUCAUUAAGAAUAAAAGAAUGAGUUCCAUAUGCGUGAUAGUUCCACUUCAAAUAGUUGGCAAAAUAAACUAAUUCCAUUUUACAGUUUCUCACAUAUGAAUUAGAUUGAAAAUGAGAUGUUCAAAGCCAUCCAGGAUACACACACAAGCACCAGUAUGUACAAUAAGAGACAGACUUCUGAUGGUCAAAAUUGAAUAAAAAUGUGUGUAUGUGUACGUGACAGAAAGAGAGAGAGAGACUUUGACAAAUUGAGAUCGUUAAAAAAAAAUAAUAAUAAAUAAAUAAAUAAGAAAGAGGAAAAACAAAUUUAUGACAUACAUAGUGAUGAGGAACAUGCCACUUCUAUGAAUAAAGGAAAAAUACGUGUGGCCAAUAGAAUAAAGUACACUGAGUAAUAAUAUUAAAUAAAAGUCUUACUACUGACCAACUCUUAGAAAAAUGCAAAUGGUAAUCCAGAAGAUGAAAGAGUUUGUUUAAAAUCAUGAAAACAACUAUACUGGAUAAUUGUCGCAGUUGAAGAACCUAUGAAAAAAUCCACGUGAUGGGAUCUCUUGCACUAUAAGUAACAGGAUAAUAAAAGGCAAUAAAAAAAAAAGAAAUGUAUAAAAUUCAAGAGUGUGGUAACAACAAACAAAAAUACCACAUACCUGCUAGGGUUCUCAUCACUGAUGAUGAUUUUCCAAAAGAAUAAUUCUUCAAAAUCCAAAGGCUAUAUUAGUGAUUAGAUAUAUCUCAGCUGACCAAAAGAAAAUGUAAAUGACUGUUGUAAACGAGUUACAGUAUUUAGCCAGGAAACUAACACCGACUGUCAGGAAGAUACAAACCUUCGAAUUAACACUUAAAAAAUCCCAGACUUCAUGUUGUUCAGCAACAUUGGCUAUAGAAAGGAGAUCCUGUGGUAUAGGUAACAAAACUGAGACAAGAAGAAAAUGGUGCUGCCAUUGAAGAGAAUAAGACAGAGAAGGAAGUUAGAGUACAUGUAGAUAUUUGUCAAGCUGAAUACAGCACUGAUAAACUAAAGCAUCCUCGGUGCUUGACGAGACUAUCCUUUUGGGGGGUAAAUGUAAUGUAUAGUUUGGGAAUUCAUUAAGAUGUCGAUGUAAUCGUUCAAAAUUUCUAUAUCUGCAUGGAGACAAGAACAAGAGUCAAGUUAAAACCAGACUCAAAUCAUUUCUGCUACAAAAUGAAGCAUACUGAUAUGGAAACUCCAGGAACUUUCUUAUUAACUCAUUGCAACCAAACUAACUUGUGGUUACCAGACAAAUUCUCUAAUGUGUAUAAAACAUGUGAUGACAUGGUACUCUUGUAGAUAUGAAAUGGGCAAGUAGAAACCUUCUUUUCACAAACCAAGUUCUGUUAUCUGAAUCCGUCACUGCAAUUGAAUACACUGCAAAAGAUUUUGACCCAAGUUUCUCAAAAUAAGCUCCCAUUACCUGCACACAUAGGUCAGGAAAGCAUACAAAAUUUAACUAUGACUUGAAGAAAACAUCAUCCAGGAUAUAUCUAGAGACACAAGCUCAACAGAAAAGGAUUGUAAUGGCUGAUCAUUUUAUAUUUUAUGCAUCUCACAAAAAUUUUAGAUAAAGAUGCUCACCCGGCACUUGAGCUUGGGGCAAUAUCGUCCAUCACUGCAAAGCAUUACAUCUGAGGCGUUCUUAUGCCCAUGUUCUUCCCCACUCCUUCCAAAAUCAGGGCUGUAAAACUCAGCAAUGAUGGACCCUCCACCAUCUCCAUCAAACGCUUUUUUUGAAUCAGGUUCAGUUUUCAAAGCAGAAGUGCUGCUGGAGUUCUUAAUCCUACUUCGAUUUGCAUCUGCACCAACGCUAUCAGUAUUAUUCAACAGAUCCCCAUCAAAAUUUUGAAACAAUUGUGUUUCCUUUUUACUCCCCUCACUUAUUUGAGUUACAAGACUUGAUCCUGGUGAUAGCCCCAGGAGUGCUUUCUCCCCUGUUCCUGCAGAUAAUCCAAUCCUGUUGGUGAGCACAUCCUUCCCCAUAUUCGUAGUAGGUACAGCACUACGUAUUCCUUGACCCCCAAUAUUCGUAGUUGGAACAGCACUAUGUAUUCCUUGACCCUUCCCUAGGUGUUCCCGGACGCCAGCAUUUUCUGCACGUUUCUGCUCUUUCUUCUUAUAAUUUCUUCCUUUUGUCCACAUAUUUUCAAGAUUUUCGGGAGUAAGAACUUCAGUUCUUCUUUGCGUCACAGCCUCCAGCAUUUGUGCCCACUCAGCAGCUCGCAGAUGCACAGACUCUUCCUGGGAUGUAUUAUCAUCCAAAGACAUUUCUCUUUGAUUCCCAAAA